This 1925-nucleotide unclassified non-coding RNA is filed under the name Daphnia magna. RNAcentral describes it as "uncharacterized LOC116916231, transcript variant X1". Lineage: Eukaryota; Metazoa; Arthropoda; Branchiopoda; Diplostraca; Daphniidae. The record is from RNAcentral.
UCUGAUCAUCGACAUUUGGUCAUCGAAGCGAAUGUGUGGAUACAUCGGCUUCACUAUUGAAGGGGUCACUCCAGAUUUUGAAAUCUUCACGGCCUUCUUGUGCAUCCGACAGAUCUUCGGCAGACACACUGCAGAGGCAAUCCUGUCCGAAUUUGAAGAUAUUCUGAGGGAAUGGAAUUUGAAAAUAUCAGUGGUUAUUCGAGUUGUUACGAACAGCGGAUCAAAUAUGAUCAAAGCGUUCGACCUAAAGCUUCCGGGCUAUGUUGAAAAGGAAAACGAGUCUGAGAACGAAGAGCCUGAUCCAAGUCCUGAAGCUGCAACUAACCAGAAUGAGGCAGCUAGCAAUUUGGAGAUGGUCGAUUUGGAAUUGACUGGCCCUGUUUACGAUUCCUUGAUGGAGAUGAUCGAUGCCAACUGUUCCCGUCAAGAAGUAAAUGUAUUGAUGGAAGCUGAUCAAGAGGAAGAUGACGAGCACCAAGAAGUUGAAUAAGGCCUCAACGAAACUUACCUUGGCAUCCUACGCACGACUUUAUCCGGUGUGGCUUCAGAUUUGAGUCAUUUGGCGACUGGUGUAAGUGAUCUAGCCACGUACGAGAUGAGCUCCAAAUUACGCGAGUCUUGUAAGGCUCACGAUCUUCAGAAUGUCAUCAAAGAUGGGCUGAAUCAAAUCGAGGCACAGGCGGGAGCUGUGAUCAAAAGGGUCAGCAAGAUCAUCAAUUCAGUCAGGAUGAGUGUGAACGACACUGAGGCCGUCUUCAAGGCCGUUGGUUUUCGGCUUGUGGCCAAGAACGCUACGCGUUGGAAUUCACAGCUGGCAUCGUUACGCUCAAUAAUAAAGGCCAUUGAUUACGAUCCUCAGCUUCAAACUGGCUUGAACGCGACCACCAAAAAGCAUUCUAAGCUCACCCCACUUGAACUCAAACUGUUAAAGGAGGUCAGCCUCAUUUAGACUCCUUUUCAAGAAGCAACUGAUGACUUCCAAGGAGAUUAUGAAACCAUCGGCUCCGUCAUUCCUGCUUACAUUGACCUGCUCAACAAAAUGACCCUGAGUUUCGUUGAUUCCAGAGGCGCAACCGUUGUGAACUCUGAAUGUCCACUUGCAGGACAAAUCAUUCAUUGCAAGGGUUUUGCAGAAGCACUUAAGACUUCUUUGAAGAAAAGAAUGUCUUCCGUGUUACACAAUACGAGCUGCGUGCUGGGUGCGAUUUUGGACCCGCGAUUCAAGACGGAAUGGAUUUCAUACACUCAUCUAAAUGAAGGCGAUGUGCUUUCUUGCGUCCUGGCGGAGCUCGUUUACCGGUAUCGCAAAAUCCAGGAUGAUACUCAAGACAUUCGAGAUGCAGAUCUGACAGCAGCUACAACAGAUUUACGAAGUUCAAACGGUGAAGACGUCAGCGGUGAGGGGAAUCAACCAACGGCCAAGAGAGCUCGUCCCACUCGUCAACUUUACAGUUCUUUCAAAAGGGCAAGUCGACCUGCCUCAGCUGGAUCCGCCAAGGUACUUGACGAGUUUGAAACCUACCUGAGUUAUUCGAUUGCGCCAAUGGAGUCAGAAGAAGUACCUGGAAAGUCGAACCCGGGGCCAUUUCGGCCAUUAAAAUAUUGGCUUAACAACCGUCAUCGAUUUCCUUAUCUCUCCUUGAUUGCCCGCGACAUCCUCGGAACUCCCGCAUCAUCUGGAAGCGUGGAAAGGUGCUACAGCACUGAAUUGGAUAUCAUUGGCAUCAAAAGAGGUAAUCUUAAAUCCGAUAUAUUCAAUCAACUGCUGUUUAUAAAACGAAAUCGCAAUCUUGUGUAAUCACACGUCAUUUGAACAGAAACACACAUAAAACAUAUUGCAUAUAAUAAUUUAUACAACUCAGUCAUUCUUGUCUAUAUGUUAUUCUACUGAUCUGUUCUCCCAAUACAAGUGUUUACAAAUCAAA